This 492-nucleotide ribosomal RNA is filed under the name uncultured bacterium. RNAcentral describes it as "partial 16S ribosomal RNA". It matches the Rfam family "Bacterial small subunit ribosomal RNA", at positions 29 to 507 of the family's 1533-position model. The record is from RNAcentral.
AGUGAACGCUGGCGGUAGGCCUAACACAUGCAAGUCGAACGGCAGCACAGUAAGAGCUUGCUCUUACGGGUGGCGAGUGGCGGACGGGUGAGGAGUACAUCGGAAUCUACUUUUUCGUGGGGGAUAACGUAGGGAAACUUACGCUAAUACCGCAUACGACCUACGGGUGAAAGCAGGGGAUCUUCGGACCUUGCGCGAUUGAAUGAGCCGAUGUCGGAUUAGCUAGUUGGCGGGGUAAAGGCCCACCAAGGCGACGAUCCGUAGCUGGUCUGAGAGGAUGAUCAGCCACACUGGAACUGAGACACGGUCCAGACUCCUACGGGAGGCAGCAGUGGGGAAUAUUGGACAAUGGGCGCAAGCCUGAUCCAGCCAUACCGCGUGGGUGAAGAAGGCGUUCGGGUUGGAAAGCCCUUUUGUUGGGAAAGAAAAGCAGCAGGUUAAUACCCCGCUGUUCUGACGGUACCCAAAGAAUAAGCACCGGCUAACUUCGUG